This is a long non-coding RNA of Panicum virgatum (switchgrass), 495 nucleotides long. RefSeq lists it as uncharacterized. Lineage: Eukaryota; Viridiplantae; Streptophyta; Magnoliopsida; Poales; Poaceae. The record is from RefSeq and is a predicted model, not a curated record. The transcript has 3 exons.
CAGAUUUUAAGCUGGGCAACCUGAAGUUGAGAGAGUAGAUUUUCUGAACGGAGAAGAAAGGUCAUGAAAGGAGAUAAUCAGUUAUGCAACUAUGAAGAUAACGUGCAUUUGUGCUAAUAUGCCUAGUAGAUCUCUAUUUUGCUUGUGAUGCAAUUUUGGAUUUAAGGGGGGCGGCAAAUGCAUGCACACAACAUCAAAUUGCUAGGUUCACAAUCAAUUAUCGCAGCUCACAGAGAGAUAUGCAAGCUUCAGGUUCUACGCUGUCGAAGUGCUUCUUGCUUGCUGAAGUACCCGCACAUGCUUGGAAUGGUCUGCAGAGACUUGAAGCUGGAGAACAUCCUCGUUUAGGAAACUUAUGACAUGUGACCAAGCAAUUUGUUCAUCUUCCGUUAGCAUUUUAUUUUAUCUAGCUUUGGCAUUUAGUCAGAGAAUUGAAUGAUAUUUGUGUAGUUUUUGAGCAGCGUAAUGGAAUUCAUAAUACUGCUUUUCUGGUCA